UACGUAGGGUGCGAGCGUUGUCCGGAUUUAUUGGGCGUAAAGAGCUCGUAGGCGGUUUGUCGCGUCGGCCGUGAAAUCUCCACGCUUAACGUGGAGCGUGCGGUCGAUACGGGCAGACUUGGGUUCGGUAGGGGAGACUGGAAUUCCUGGUGUAGCGGUGAAAUGCGCAGAUAUCAGGAGGAACACCGGUGGCGAAGGCGGGUCUCUGGGACGGUACUGACGCUGAGACGCGAAAGCGUGGGGAGCGAACAGG
Molecule: ribosomal RNA, 253 nt
Filed under: uncultured bacterium
Lineage: Bacteria
Description: partial 16S ribosomal RNA
Rfam family: Bacterial small subunit ribosomal RNA
Source: RNAcentral